Molecule: unclassified non-coding RNA, 291 nt
Filed under: Hevea brasiliensis (rubber tree)
Lineage: Eukaryota; Viridiplantae; Streptophyta; Magnoliopsida; Malpighiales; Euphorbiaceae
Source: RNAcentral
GAAAGAUAUAGUAGAAACCUUCCCCUUUAUCAUAAAUGCAGGCAUAAUGAAGAAAAGACAAAUGGUUUAUUGCUGAACAUGUUAUAUUUGCAAAAGGGGAAGGGGAAGGAUUAAAUAGGUCAAAAGUAACUAAAAGGUAAUAGGAGUUGAUUUGAGGAGGCAAAGAAUCUAAACACAAUAUGGAUUAGCUAACAUAUAACUCAUGUUCAGCAUUCAAUUGAUCCAAUAUAUCUAUACAUGAUAGGGAAAUUACUACAGGAAAAGAAUGCAGCUUAAUUUAUAAACCCUUUU